GUUACCUUCUCUGGCUGCUGCUGCACAAGCAUGUUUUGUAUGUAGAGCAGCCCUCUUCCUCCAAGCAUUUGAUGUCCAUUUUUGUAACUCAUAUAGCCGAGUUUAUUCUUAUAGACGGGGGAAAUAGUUCAGGAACUCACCUCCUACAACCAUCAUACAACCUGCAGAGCUGGCAGCUACAAGGGUGUGUGGGGGGAGGGGUCGUGACUCUGCAAUUGAAAGAACUGGGGGGAUUUGACCUCCACUUUUCUCUCUGAUGACAUAUUUAAAAAAAUUGCUCAUACUUUAGGACCGGCAUGAUGGAAAAUUUUAGCGGUUUUGAAACUGUGACUUUUUCAUAUCGGGGUAUACCGUGAAACCGGUAUUUGGCCUAGGCCUAGUCACAGCACCCCUUAAUUAAAACAUGUCCUCACAUCUAAGGAUAGAACUACUUCAGAACUGCUUUUGAUUCAGUACUAAAACUGAUUUGGUUUGUGACAACCCGCUCGUUUUUUUUGCUGGUUGCACUGUUUCCUUUCUCUCUCUGCCCCUCCUGCCCUCAUAUUUUGGGAUACGCCCUGGUUUUCACCGUGCUUCUCAGAGACUCACCUCAUUGGUUAUCAGAGCCAAGGUGUUUCUCUAUCAUACAGGUGGAAUGGCAGUCUUCCUCUAGCUCCGGGGAUGGUAACACCUGACGCCGUCAGUCCGUCAGACUCCCACAUUAAAGCCAUUUGGGGCUGAUCCGAGGCUGUUUCAUCCCUCGUAUUUUGCUUUCAGCACCUCUGCCUUGUUGGGUAGUUUAGAGAUCCCCAUAUUCAACUACAAAGAAAAGUUCGCUUCUGUGUAUCAGCUGUGCUGACGUGUUAACACGGAGGUUCGGAAAGCCGGUGACAUCAUUGAAAUCAAGUCUCUCAUCUAUCUGGUCCAGAUAACGAGACUUAACUGAACUGAAUCCUGGUCCUGCCUCUGUGAGAUUCUUUUUUCAUCAAACAUCUCUCUUGCUGUGGAGCGACAUGUAUGGAAGUCAAUGAGUGCCCUUCUUUUUUUUCUUCUUUUUUUCUCCUCCCUCGACUGUGAAGAAUAUUGGACUUUUUUUGUUCUCUCACUUAUAAUACAAGCCUGAAAACUAA
Long non-coding RNA from Austrofundulus limnaeus, 1109 nucleotides. RefSeq lists it as uncharacterized. Lineage: Eukaryota; Metazoa; Chordata; Actinopteri; Cyprinodontiformes; Rivulidae. The transcript has 3 exons. The record is from RefSeq and is a predicted model, not a curated record.